Molecule: long non-coding RNA, 4557 nt
Filed under: Mus musculus (house mouse)
Lineage: Eukaryota; Metazoa; Chordata; Mammalia; Rodentia; Muridae
Description: long non-coding RNA chr17:21652988-21657545
Source: RNAcentral
UAGGGGACUUUUGGGAUAGCAUUGGAAAUGUAAAUGAAAUAAAUACCUAAUUAAAAAAAAAGAAUAAGAUACUAAGUAAAUUUCUGCGAGUACGGAGCCUGUGGCUGGGAAAAUGGUUAUAGCCAUGAUCAUUGACUGCCUUAAGCUUACUCUGUGAUAGCCAGUGACAACUGGAAGGAAGAAACUACCUUUCUCUAAUGAUGACAUGUACAGUAAGACUAUAAAGAAGAGAAAAAUCUUAUUAAAAAAAAAAAAAAGAAUAAGCCAGCUAUCCUGUUGCCUAAAUCUGCCUCUUACAAGGUAUUAAAAAGUGUGUUCUUUGUUUGUUCUGGGUCUUUGUCUCUGGCCUGAGUGAUGAGAGGAGGGUCCCCAACAUGAUGGAUCAAUAAAAAACCUCUUGCGGUUUGCAGUGAAUGCACUUUCUGUGGUCUUUGUGAGUGAGGGUCUUUUGAUGAACUCCAACAUUUAUCCUUAUUCCAUGCACAUCACUGAUCAAGUCUACAUACCAAUAUUAAAUGGUUUUCCUUUCAGUGAUCUUCAUGCACUAUAAAAUGAUGAAUAUUAAUGCAUCUAGGUUUACUUAUUGUUUUCAGAAUUUUUGAGCUUCUGGUAUUCUAGCACAUUCCUUACCUUUUAUUGCUAAUUUCUCUAUUCCUAAAAAUAAUGCUAACAGACAUUUGAUAAGAAUCAGAAGCUAUUAUUUGUAGACCUAUCCUGCCUUCCCUUUGGGAUCUCCUAUUGUCUGUUAUCAUGACAAUUCCAAGUGGUGAGGUCAUCUCUAGGUGUGAUCCUCUUUGUAUUUCCCAGCUCUGUGCUGCUCCUUGGUAAUUUCAGGAUUACUUUCUGUAAAAAAUGCAAAUAGGAUUUAAUAGGUAUAGCUUGGAGUCUUAGAUAAAACAAACCUCCUUCUAGGUUGUCUUCUCAUGUUUGAGAAGCACUUAGUCAGGUUGCCUGUUUUCACAUGUUUUAUGUAUUCUGCUAUAGAUAUCUCCACUCUGGGUAUUGUGGCAUGCACUCAUGUUGACCAAGGACUUUCUAUCAAAUGGACCAUUAUACCUUUUGUGAAAAGUCUUUAUUUUGUAUUUUAAUACUUUUGUCUUGAUUUCUUUUUGUCACUGGUAUAAUUAUGGUCAUCAUAUUUCUUCACUGCGUCCCAGAUGCAUGGCAUUUAAAGGAAAUUCCCUCUUUGUCAGUAUUUUGUAUCUUUAGAUAUGAAGUAAAUAUUUUGUAGAAAAUAUAUCUUUUAAUCUGGUGUCAAUUUUUUGAAUGUUGCUGUCUGUUUACAUGUUUAGCUUAGGGAAUAUUAUCUAUUUACAUUUCAAGAAGAAGCUAUCUAGUCUGCAACCUGUGUUUGUGUUAUUUGGUGACAUUCUUUUGCAGGUUCUGGAUCUGCUGCUCUUGCAUUGGGCUGAUCUGGAAUCACAUGGGGUAGCUCAAGCCUUGCAAUUUUCCUGAGGUUGUUCUGUACCCUGGGAAUUUGCGCAUCAUGACAAAUUCUAGGCUUCUCUUCACUAUUUCUGUGAAGUAUAUUGUGGGAAUUUAAGUGUCAUAGAGUUUGAACUGAUAUGGAAAUCACUUCCAGAGAUCCUGCAAAUUUCCCAAAAUUAUGUCCAGUUCUGUCUGAGUAAAACAUCUUUUAAGGUUCUUGUUAGUGUUUUCUUCAGUUCCUUCAACAAAUCAAAGUUUUCAUUGUAUAGACGUUUCAUAAAUUUGGUUAAGUCAGGAAUUUUUAAUUUUGUUUUCCCUCCCUCCUUCUCCUCCACUUCCUCCUCCUUCUCUCUCUCUUUCUCUCUGUAUUUGUCUUUACUAAUUUUUAUUAUUCAGUUUUUUGUUAAAAAGUCUCUAAAAGAGUAACAUUUGCUCAGAACCAUCGAACCAUCUCCCUCGACCCAUAUUAAAUUUUAUUUAUGUGAGUAGCAAUUACAGAAAAUGAUAUAAAGCUAUUUUGAUUGAUUUUAUUUUUUAAUUUAUAUAAUCAAAAAGCUUGACUUUACAUAGGCAUGUAUAAUUUUAAUAUGUUUUCCUUUUACUAUUGUACUUUUUUAUAUUCUUGAACAUAACAUUGCUACCUCCUCAGUCUGUGUAUUUUCUGGAAUGAACACUUUGUAUGGAUAACCAUAUGGUAUACUGUCCUCUGCCAACUAUUUCUCCAGCUGUAAGAAUUCAUUAGUGCUUGACUAAGGCUGAGGUCUAGUGAGCUUUCUCCCUUCCACGUUAGCAUGUCUCUUGGUAUUAUUCUUGUUCAGCUCAGGUUUCGGCAGCUACAUUUGUAUGAUUUUAUAUAAGUAGCUUCUCUGACAUUUCUAGGAGACACAAUGUCACAGCAAACCUCUAUUAUUCUGGCUCUUACUAUAUCCCCAACCAUCUUGCUUGGUGAUGCCUGAGUCUUAGCUGAGCAUCACAACUCCAUUUUGACUGAUAGUGUUUUUCUGUAAUGUUGUUCAUGUCUUACUAAAAGAACUUGUCUUAAUGAGAGUGAGGAUUACAUUUAUUUGUGUGAAAUAGGACAAAUAUUUAGAAUGUUGUUUGGGAUUAUGCUGAUUUAGUAAAGUAGUAUUUGUAUGUUCUUCUCCAAGAUCCAUGACAUCAUUAGCCCUGGGAAAUGUGGCUAGGUUUUCAGUAACACCUGUGAUUUCCCUGUUGUUAAGGUCUUAAUUCCAAUUAGAAGCUGUUGGUUGCCACCGAGGUAUGUGGGCCACUCUUGAACCCUUAAGGUUAUUGUGCAGUGCAGAUCAUUGUUGUGGUUCAUACACGUCAUAUCUGGGUAGGAGGCUUGGUUGGCUCCCUCCUUUGGAAGCUUGCAUGUUGCUUUCUUAUACGAUGAAAGCCAGUUCCCAUGUAUUGGCAGUCUCUUGGGCAGGUAUGACCAACAACUUCACAGCAUGGUUCUGGUGCCUGUUGUUGGUUUUGUUAGAAAAUCUAUGGCCCCUGUGAGGAGCAUUAUCAUCCCAGAUGAGAUAUUUUCAUUUAUAUUCUAAAUAUAUAUGUAUCCACACACUUAUUAAUAUGUAUUAUAGGCAUUAUUAAUGAAUGGAUAAUAGUAUUAUUCUUUUUGACUUUUUAGACAUCUUUACUUUUUUUUAUUUUAUUUUUUUUCAUCCUUCUAGGUUGUGAUGGUUUGUAUAUGGUUGGCCCAGGGAGUGGCAUUUUUUGGAGGUGUGGCCUUCUUGAUGUAGGUAUGCCACUAUAGGCUUGGGCUUUAAAACCUUCAUCAUAGCUGCCUGGAAGCCAGUCUUCUAGCUACGUUCAGAUGAAGAGAAGAACUCUUAGAUCCUCUUGCACGAUGCCUGCCUGGACACUGUCAAACCCCCACCUUGAUGAUAAUGAACUGAACUUCUGAACCUGUAAGCCAGCCCCAACUAAAUAUCCUUUUAAGGGUUGUGUUGGUCAUGGUAUCUGUUUAUAGCAGUAAAACCCUAACUAAGACAGAAGUCAUACUGUCCCUCCUCCAUAAUUAAAUCUAUUCCACCAUUCUUCCAUUUUUCCUCUUUAGAUCCUUUAGUUCCCUGUUAUUCCCCUUUCUAUUAUUCCCCCACAUUCCACAAUGAUCUGCUUUUAGUUUUCUGGUUACUGCAGGUACUCCAGGUUGUGAACUCACAUCAGAAGUUUUGGAUCUAGAAACUUCCUAUGAGAGAGAAGAUGCAAUGCCUGUCUUUCUGGUUCUGGGUUACUCCACUGACUGUGAUCUUUUAUUAGGCCACCUAUUUACCUGCAACACUCCUGACUUUAAUUUUCUUUACAGCUUAAUAAUAUUCCAUAGUGUAUAUGCACCACAUUUCCACUCUCCAUUUGUCCAUUGAAGGCCAUUUAAAUUGUUCCCCUUUUUAAAGCUAUUGUGAGUAGAGCAGCAGUGAACAUCUGUGGAGUAGGACAUUGAUUCCCUUGAACACAUGCAAAGGAGUAGAAGAGCUGUGUCACAUGCUAGAUUUAUUUAACUUGAGGAUUUGUUUAUUUAACUGGUUUGUCCAUAUUGAUACCCACAGUGGCUACAUUUUUUGUUCAUGGGAGUUUUAUUCCUCAUGCUUAUUGUUGUUUAUUAUUUAUUUAUGUUGUUGGUAGGAUUAUGGGUGCUAUUAUUCUUUCUCUGUGAGAACUAGUAUUUUUGCUGUUUUGCUUAUGGAUGAUUACUUCUUAGUUCUCCCGUAUUUAUCUACUUUCCAAAUAAAGUUUAUUAUUCCCAUGUUUUCAUGGCUAAUCAUUAUACCUCUUGUGCAUAUUUUUCUGUAAUUUAUUAUAUACUAGGCUGCAUUCGUGAAAUGACUUGUAUUAAUUUGGACUAUCUUGAAAUACACUUAUAUCGCUCCAUCAAUUUAAAGAGAUUAUUUUUCUAGAUGCAACAAUAUGCUUGAUGGUGACUUUCCCUUUAAACUUCCAAUAUGGUCUCAUGUUGUCUUGGUUUUGGGAUCAUUGACAGGAUUCCUCAUAGUAUUCUGAUGUUUGAAUCUUGUUAUGUGCUUUGACACUAUUUUUUAGUAGAUUUCAGUAUUGAUUUCUGCUUUUUCUUUUUCUUUUUGAUCCCUUCUAUGAAAGGACCACAAACCAGCUAUUCAUUGUUCC